UUUUUGAUAGCUUAAACUAAAGCAAUAAACUUUUAAUUUAUUAAUGGAUAAAUCCUCUUUCAAAGAA
This 67-nucleotide transfer RNA is filed under the name Physa fontinalis. RNAcentral describes it as "tRNA-Lys". It matches the Rfam family "tRNA". From Rfam's summary of the family: Transfer RNA (tRNA) molecules are approximately 80 nucleotides in length. The record is from RNAcentral. Lineage: Eukaryota; Metazoa; Mollusca; Gastropoda; Physidae.